GACGAACGCUGGCGGCGUGCCUAAUACAUGCAAGUAGAACGCUGAAGAGAGGAGCUUGCUCUUCUUGGAUGAGUUGCGAACGGGUGAGUAACGCGUAGGUAACCUGCCUUGUAGCGGGGGAUAACUAUUGGAAACGAUAGCUAAUACCGCAUAACAAUGGAUGACACAUGUCAUUUAUUUGAAAGGGGCAAUUGCUCCACUACAAGAUGGACCUGCGUUGUAUUAGCUAGUAGGUGAGGUAAUGGCUCACCUAGGCGACGAUACAUAGCCGACCUGAGAGGGUGAUCGGCCACACUGGGACUGAGACACGGCCCAGACUCCUACGGGAGGCAGCAGUAGGGAAUCUUCGGCAAUGGGGGCAACCCUGACCGAGCAACGCCGCGUGAGUGAAGAAGGUUUUCGGAUCGUAAAGCUCUGUUGUAGGUCAAGAACGGGUGUGAGAGUGGAAAGUUCACACUGUGACGUUAGCUUACCAGAAAGGGACGGCUAACUACGUG
RNAcentral lists this ribosomal RNA (497 nucleotides) under uncultured bacterium. Its description in RNAcentral is "partial 16S ribosomal RNA". It matches the Rfam family "Bacterial small subunit ribosomal RNA", at positions 28 to 507 of the family's 1533-position model. The record is from RNAcentral.